Molecule: long non-coding RNA, 2156 nt
Filed under: Solanum tuberosum (potato)
Lineage: Eukaryota; Viridiplantae; Streptophyta; Magnoliopsida; Solanales; Solanaceae
Description: long non-coding RNA (STUB_LNC008978)
Source: RNAcentral
CUCCGCUACAAAAAGUUUUAACAGAAAAUCAAUGCCAACUCACUCAAAAUGAGUAUAUUAAAUAUAAAGGUAUCUUCUAGCAAGUGAUAUUUUAGCAGCUAAUUCAGAUUAUAAUACUUAAUUUGACUAUGCUAGUUCUCUCAAAAGGACAUGUGGCACCAACAGUAGACCCCAGUUAAACCAAGAAACUACAUCACCAUACGAGAAAUUAUACCAUACCAACUUAAUAAUUCUACUUUAUUUUAUUUAUUUAUUUUGAGAAAAGGAAACGCAGGGAGAUAAGCCAAUGUUCAAGAUGCUUCACAAAUGGAGUCUCAACAGUGAAAAAGGCCGGAAAACUCAUAUUCAAUCUGAACAGAUUUUCAAUCAAGAAUAUUGGAGUCAAAAUAAAGAAGAAAACGAAAUAAAGCUAAAGGAACCCAACCGAAAAUAGGUUCAUCACAUAACAUCAAAAUAGAAUAUGAAUGAGGGAAGAGAUAUUACCUUUUUCCGGCAGCAAACGGGGGACAAUGACAAGCAGAAAGGUAGCUUUCCACGACCACAACGAGAUUCCGACUCGGGCAACGAUCGAGAAAUCCGAGUAGAAUAUUGGACUUAACCCCGAAACUAGUUCUCCUCUGGUUCCUGGGUAUAUAUUUAGUAUGUAUUUAACUAUUUUUUGCUUAAGUAUUUCAAGGUAUUUUUUUGCUCAAAAAAAAAUCCCACCCCUACAAUGGAGAAGAAGAGACAUAUAUAUAGGGGGGAAAUCUAGGGUCCAAUUGGGAGGGAAAAGGGUAGAAUCGGGAUUUGAAUUCGACCCUCCAUUUGAAUUUUCUUCCCCAAAGGAUGGGGAAAAGUUGUUGCUUGUACCAUAUUUCAACCGAAAUCCCCUAAAAAUCGGAUGGAGAGAAAGCUGUGGGAGCAGCUGUGGCAGAGGAGGAAGACGCAAAAGCUGUUGCGUGUGCUGCUGCUGUGAGAAGUGUUGCUACUGUACACAACUGCUGCUGCUUUUGACGUUUCUGGUCUUGCUGAAGAAGAAGGAGAACACAGGUGGGGUUGUUCGGCUACUGUAUGUAUUGUAUGUAUUAUUAUAUUGUUGGGAAUGGGCUAGUAGUUUGGUUGGGCUGCUGUAGUUGUAUGGGAUUGUUGUAUGUAGGCAUUGUAUGUUAGGAAUUGUUUGACUAAAAUGGGCCUGAAAUGAGAAAGGCACGGGCUGCUGGAAAUUAAAGAAAUGGGGCCCAAAACUAAAGUCUUUGGUGGGUUUAAAGUAAGGUAUAACUAAGUGAAUUAACAACUUAGCCAAAUCGAAUUUAAUUUGCAAAUUCGGCUAAAACUCAAAUAGGACGAAUUAGUAUAAUUAAUUAAUGAGCUUCUUAAUUUUAACGAAAAAUAAAAUAAUUAACUCAAUUAUAACCUAACUAAUUUAAAUAACUCGAAAUUAUAACUAUAAUUUACGCUAAACUAAUUUAAUAAAAUACUUACUAAAAGUUUAAAAUCUUUUUGAGAUGAUUUUCGAAAUGUUUAUAAAAUAUACUAAUUAUAUAUAAAACAUAUAUAUUACAUAAAAAAUUAUAAAAAUGAUAAAAUUGAUUAAAAAAUAACUUGAAAAAACAUUUUGAACUUUACAAAGUCAAUUGUCUCAAAUCGUUUGGAAUUUAAGAAACUUGAUGAUUAAUAUAUAUUGUGGAGGUCCAAAAUUGGGUGUCAACCUAUUAAAAAAAAAUAUACCAAACAAGCUGAUAAUAUUAAUAUACAAAAUUAAUACAUACACUAUUUUUUCUGAUAUACUUUACCAAACUACUCCUAAAUCAAGUUUCGAGGAUGACUUUAUAGCAAAUAAACCCAACCUCUUCAUACUAACAAAUGAUUUAAUUGAGUGGAAAACAUAUUUAUUGACAAUAGACACACAUCAAUUUAUGAUAUACUAGUCUAUAGUUGAUCAUCGUUGAUAAAGUGAUUGAAAAUUUGAAACAAUGAAGAAAUUAAUUUUAAAAAAUAAUGACUAAGAGUUAGAAAUAACAAUGAUUAUAUUUAAACAGUGAAAAAGGCCGGAAAACUCAUAUUCAAUCUGAACAGAUUUUCAAUCAAGAAUAUUGGAGUCAAAAUAAAGAAGAAAACGAAAUAAAGCUAAAGGAACCCAACCGAAAAUAGGUUCAUCACAUAACAUCAAAAUAGAA